Molecule: long non-coding RNA, 550 nt
Organism: Cyprinus carpio carpio
Lineage: Eukaryota; Metazoa; Chordata; Actinopteri; Cypriniformes; Cyprinidae
Source: Ensembl
GUAAAACCCCCUACUGAAGUAUGCCACAAGAAAAACUGCUUCUAGCUUCUUACCUUAUUUCAGGUUUUGAUAAAGAUUUAUAAUAUUGGUAUAUAAUGCAUACAUGUUCACAUAGGAGAUAAAUAUGAAUCAUAUGCAUAUGCCACAACUUUUCAAUGGAGGCACUAGUACUGAGACUCGUGGUGUUACUAUGGUAACGAUUCAGCGCGAGGUGAGUGCCACAGAAAACAUGUUCAGGUCUACAAGCUUAAGUAACAUUAACCAAGACAGAAGAAUAAUGUCAUACUCUGAUGAAGAUGAGCUUUUGAAAGCAGAGAAAGAGGAUGAAGAAGGACAGGGAGAGAGAGAUGAUCUUGAAAUAAAAGAGAAGGAGAUUUCAGGACAAGAGAAUCAGCUGGACAAGGAUCCCAUCACUGCUGGAGAGAAGUCUGAGGCACAAGAAAGGGAAUUUGAAGAUGGAUAUGCUGAAGAUCAAGAGGAUUACUGAAUAGGCUGUGCUACAUUGAAUAUACUUGUUAAUUUCAUAUUCAGUAAAGUUUACUAUCACGCA